This 73-nucleotide transfer RNA is filed under the name Felis catus (domestic cat). Lineage: Eukaryota; Metazoa; Chordata; Mammalia; Carnivora; Felidae. RNAcentral also lists the same sequence under 5 other names. The record is from Rfam by way of RNAcentral.
ACCUGGCUGGCUCAGCUGGGGGAACAUGUGACUCUUGAUCUCAGGGUCAUGGGUUUGAGCCCCAUGUUGGGUG